ACCAUUUGGUUCCUGCAAUUUAAGUCUAAAUUCUUAGGUCCAUGUGUGAAAGAUAAAAUGAAUGUCAAUUGCUAUUGGAAAAAAUCAGGAAUUGAAUGAGAUUUGCAAGACCUAGUUUCUUAAACGGAAAUUGAGCCCUAUUUUGUGGGAAAUUAGUUUUGCAGACUUUCUUAAAAAAAAACCUAAAACUUUUGUUCAGCAGCUGCUCCACUUUUCCCUGCAGUUUCAGAGUGAGCUGGAACCUGCAGCAGUCUUUAAACGUGCUUAUCAACACACAUCACAAGAGAUCUUCAUCUCGUAUACCUAAAGACGCCACUCCACAACCUCAUUCUGCACCGCUCCUGCAUCUGUCAGCCAUUGGAACUGGCCAAGAGUCUUUCUAUAUUAUUCUCAAGAGAGUUUGAGUAAUCCCAGGACCCAAUAAGAAAUGCAACCAAUGUAUUUCAUGCACAUUAAAUGGAAAACCAUGAGUCUGAAAGCUUGACUGCAACCAUGAAAGUUUCUGAAAUCACAUUUUGGAUAGGAAAGACUGAAAAAAAAUGGUACAAGGGAAAGAGAAAAUGUAUCUCAUCUAAACAUACCAUACAUGAAGCACUCACUAUGGCAGUCUACCUUUUCUGAGGGUAGCAGUUUUCUGCUAUCCCUAUUAUAGUCCAAUAAUUCCAAUCUGCUAGUAAAACAAGGAUUGUUUAAAAGCUGAAUCUCCAAGAAAAAAAUGUGUGUUUAAGUCACAGGGAUUUACACCAGCUGCAAGGCCAGAUCCUCAGCUGGUGUAAAUCAGCAUAGCACCAUUGAAGUGAAUGGAGCUUUGCCCAGUUAUACCAGCUGAGGAUUUGGCCCUCAUACUAAUUUUGCAAACCCAAUAGUUUGAGAAUUUUGCAAAAUUCUCAAACUCCUUGAAUUUCACCUGGCCCUGCUGUGCCCAGAGCACACAUUUUCGUAACAUUCAGAAAGUGAGAUUUUUCAGCUGAAGUCCAUACAAAAACUCGAGGGUGGGGGAAGAGAGUAAAAAAAGGGCAGAAGAGUACCAGAAAAUAAAAACAGAUUAGAACGGAUUUUGUUCUCAGUUACACUGUGCAUAAACCCAGAAUAAUUCCUAUAGAAUCAGUGGAAUUAAACUUGUGAAUAGUUGAUAUGAGAAUAGAAUGAGACCAAACAAACAACCGAGAAUAAUUUGACUUGUAGAGGAAGUCUCUCACUUCUAGUCCUACAGUCUUCCACAAAUAGAUAUUUCAUUACAAAAAUUCUAAAUACUAUGGCUACCACAUCAGCUGCU
Long non-coding RNA from Mauremys reevesii (Reeves's turtle), 1276 nucleotides. RefSeq lists it as uncharacterized. The transcript is spliced from 4 exons. NCBI's taxonomy places the organism in Eukaryota, Metazoa, Chordata, Testudines, Geoemydidae. The record is from RefSeq and is a predicted model, not a curated record.